AGAGUUUGAUCAUGGCUCAGGAUGAACGCUAGNUACCAGGCUUAACACAUGCAAGUCGAGGGGAAACGAUAUUGGAAGCUUGCUUCCGAUAGGCGUCGACCGGCGCACGGGUGAGUAACACGUAUCCAACCUGCCCACCACUUGGGGAUAACCUUGCGAAAGUAAGACUAAUACCCAAUGAUAUCUCUAGAAGACAUCUGAAAGAGAUUAAAGAUUUAUCGGUGAUGGAUGGGGAUGCGUCUGAUUAGCUUGUUGGCGGGGUAACGGCCCACCAAGGCAACGAUCAGUAGGGGUUCUGAGAGGAAGGUCCCCCACAUUGGAACUGAGACACGGUCCAAACUCCUACGGGAGGCAGCA
This 357-nucleotide ribosomal RNA is filed under the name uncultured bacterium. RNAcentral's name for it is "bacterial SSU rRNA". It matches the Rfam family "Bacterial small subunit ribosomal RNA", at positions 8 to 353 of the family's 1533-position model. The record is from RNAcentral.